CCGUCGGAGAGCUUGCUCGAAGACGGUGAGAGUGGCGCACGGGUGCGUAACGCGUGAGCAACCUACCUCUAUCAGGGGGAUAGCCUCUCGAAAGAGAGAUUAACACCGCAUAACAUAUGUGACCGGCAUCGGUUGGAUAUUAAAUAUUUAUAGGAUAGAGAUGGGCUCGCGUGACAUUAGCUAGUUGGUAGGGUAACGGCUUACCAAGGCGACGAUGUCUAGGGGCUCUGAGAGGAGAAUCCCCCACACUGGUACUGAGACACGGACCAGACUCCUACGGGAGGCAGCAGUAAGGAAUAUUGGUCAAUGGGCGGAAGCCUGAACCAGCCAUGCCGCGUGCAGGAUGACUGCCCUAUGGGUUGUAAACUGCUUUUGUCCAGGAAUAAACCUU
Molecule: ribosomal RNA, 391 nt
Filed under: Sphingobacterium sp. 3-21(2012)
Lineage: Bacteria; Pseudomonadati; Bacteroidota; Sphingobacteriia; Sphingobacteriales; Sphingobacteriaceae
Description: bacterial SSU rRNA
Rfam family: Bacterial small subunit ribosomal RNA
Source: RNAcentral